CCACAGCAGAAUGACUCGGCAAGGAGAAGGGCUUGUCGGGUCUAGCUGGGAGUGGAGGUGGGCCAGGCUGCCAGAGGGAGGCUUUGGGUGGUGCCCUUAAGAGUCUCCUUCAUGAGCUGUUUUGCACUGUGAGGUAAGCAAGAGGGCAAGGAAGGCCAUUGCUGGGGAAUGGGCCGCCUGGCUCACACCUGCAGGCAGCUGCUAAGCCAAGAGUGGGUGGGUGCUGCUGAGGGAUUGGGCUUCUAGUUUGUUUGUUUUUAUUUUUUUAUUUUUUUGAGAUGGAGUUUCGUGCUUGUUGCCCAGGCUGGAGUGCAGUGGUGCAAUCUCGGCUCACCGCAACCUCUGCCUCCCGGGUUCAAGCGAUUCUCCGGCCUCAGCCUCCCUAAUAGUUGGGAUUACAGGCACCCGCCACCACGCCCAGCUAAUUUUUUGUAUUUUUAGUAGAGACGGGGUUUCGUCCUGUUACCCAGGCUGGUUUUGAACUCCUGGCCUCAAGCAAUCCACUCAUCUCGGCCUCCCAAAGUGCCAGGAUUAUAGGCCUGAGCCACUGCGUACAGCUUGUUUUUAAAUAAAGCAGUUUUUAAAACUACUGUUGCAACCUUUUAGAGGGAGGUAAACUGAAUAUGGUGGAUUUUGAAUGACUAUUUUUUUGUUUUAUGAAAGAGGAUAAUAAUAGAAUAGAAAAUAUGAGAAUGUUUGGCCGGGUGCGGUGGCUCACACCUGUAAUCCCAGCAGUUUGGGAGGCCGAGGCAGGUGGAUCACCUGAGGUCAGGAGUUCGAGACCAGCCUGACCAACAUGACGAAACCCCGUCUCUACUAAAAAUACAAAAUUAGCCGGGCAUGAUGGUGCACGCCUGUAAUCUCAGCUACUUGGGAGGCUGAGACAGGACAAUCGCUUGAACCUGGGAGGCGGA
This 914-nucleotide long non-coding RNA is filed under the name Homo sapiens (human). Its description in RNAcentral is "HSALNT0317531". Lineage: Eukaryota; Metazoa; Chordata; Mammalia; Primates; Hominidae. The record is from RNAcentral.